UACGGGGGGGGCAAGCGCUGUUCGGAAUUACUGGGCGUAAAGGGCUCGUAGGCGGCCAACUAAGUCGGAUGUGAAAUCCCCAAGCUUAACUUGGGAACUGCAUCCGAUACUGGAUGGCUUGAAUCCGGGGAGAGGGAUGCAGAAUUCCAGGUGUAGCGGUGAAAUGCGUAGAUAUCUGGAGGAAUACCGGUGGCGAAGGCGGCAUCCUGGACCGGCAUUGACGCUGAUGAGCGAAAAGCUAGGGGAGCAAACGGG
Molecule: ribosomal RNA, 255 nt
Filed under: uncultured bacterium
Lineage: Bacteria
Description: partial 16S ribosomal RNA
Rfam family: Bacterial small subunit ribosomal RNA
Source: RNAcentral